GAACGCUGGCGGCACGCUUAACACAUGCAAGUCGAACGGGAUCUUCGGAUCUAGUGGCAGACGGGUGAGUAACGCGUGGGAACCUACCCAGUAGUAGAGAAUAACUUGGGGAAACUUAAGCUAAUACUUUAUACGUCCUUCGGGGGAAAGCUUUAUGCGCUAUUGGAUGGGCCCGCGUUAGAUUAGUUUGUUGGUGAGGUAAUGGCUCACCAAGGCUACGAUCUAUAGCUGGUCUGAGAGGAUGAUCAGCCACACUGGGACUGAGACACGGCCCAGACUCCUACGGGAGGCAGCAGUGGGGAAUAUUGGACAAUGGGGGCAACCCUGAUCCAGCGAUGCCGCGUGAGUGAUGAAGGCCCUAGGGUUGUAAAACUCUUUCGUCAGGGAAGAUAAUGACGGUACCUGAAGAAGAAGAUCCGGC
This 421-nucleotide ribosomal RNA is filed under the name uncultured Pseudomonadota bacterium. RNAcentral's name for it is "bacterial SSU rRNA". It matches the Rfam family "Bacterial small subunit ribosomal RNA", at positions 31 to 497 of the family's 1533-position model. The record is from RNAcentral. Lineage: Bacteria; Pseudomonadati; Pseudomonadota.